CUGAGUCCCCUGGAACGGGGCGCCAUAGAGGGUGAGAGCCCCGUAUAGUUGGAUGCCGAGCCGAUGUGAAUCUCCUUCGACGAGUCGAGUAGUUUGGGAAUGCUGCUCAAAAUGGGAGGUAAAUUUCUUCUAAAGCUAAAUACCGGCCAGAGACCGAUAGCGCACAAGUAGAGUGAUCGAAAGAUGAAAAGCACUUUGAAAAGAGGGUUAAACAGCACGUGAAAUUGUUGAAAGGGAAGCGCUUGUGACCAGACUUGCGCCCGGUUGAUCAUCCGGUGUUCUCACCGGUGCACUCUGCCGGGCUCAGGCCAGCAUCGGUUCUCUUGGGGGAAUAAAGGUCCAGGGAACGUGGCUCUUCCGGGAGUGUUAUAGCCCUGGGCGCAACGCCCUCGAGGGGACCGAGGUUCGCGCAUCUGCAAGGAUGCUGGCGUAAUGGUCAUCAGCGAC
RNAcentral lists this ribosomal RNA (447 nucleotides) under [Taeniolella] phialosperma. RNAcentral's name for it is "partial large subunit ribosomal RNA". It matches the Rfam family "Eukaryotic large subunit ribosomal RNA", at positions 181 to 648 of the family's 3401-position model. The record is from RNAcentral. Lineage: Eukaryota; Fungi; Ascomycota; Sordariomycetes; Sordariales.